RNAcentral lists this ribosomal RNA (510 nucleotides) under uncultured bacterium. RNAcentral describes it as "partial 16S ribosomal RNA". It matches the Rfam family "Bacterial small subunit ribosomal RNA", at positions 28 to 507 of the family's 1533-position model. The record is from RNAcentral.
GACGAACGCUGGCGGCGUGCUUAACACAUGCAAGUCGAACGAAGAGCGAUGGAAGCUUGCUUCUAUCAAUCUUAGUGGCGAACGGGUGAGUAACGCGUAAUCAACCUGCCCUUCAGAGGGGGACAACAGUUGGAAACGACUGCUAAUACCGCAUACGAUCUAAUCUCGGCAUCGAGGAUAGAUGAAAGGUGGCCUCUACAUGUAAGCUAUCACUGAAGGAGGGGAUUGCGUCUGAUUAGCUAGAUGGAGGGGUAACGGCCCACCAAGGCGAUGAUCAGUAGCCCGUCGGAGAGGAUGAGCGGCCACCUUGGGACGGAGACACGGCCCAGACUCCUACGGGAGGCAGCAGUGGGGAUUCUUCCGCAAUGGACGAAAGACUGACGGAGCAACGCCGCGGGAGUGAUGACGGCCGUCGGGUUGUAAAGCUCGGUUAAUCGGGACGAAAGGCCUUCUUGCGAAUAGUGAGAAGGAUUGACGGUACCGGAAUAGAAAGCCACGGCUAACUACGUG